AGGUGGUGUAUUUGUGUGUAAGGUCCUAGUCUAUGACAGGUGUUGUAUUUGUAUGUAAGGUCCUAGUCUAUGACAGGUUUUGUAUUUAUGUGUAAGGUCCUAGUCUAUGACAGGGGGUGUAUUUAUGUGUUAGAUCCUAGUCUAUGACAGGUGGUGUAUUUAUGUGUAAGGUCCUAGUCUAUGACAGGUGGUGUAUUUAUGUGUAAGGUCCUGGUCUAUGCAAGUCGGUGUAUUUAUGUGUAAGGUCCUAGUCUAUGACAG
Molecule: long non-coding RNA, 261 nt
Filed under: Mizuhopecten yessoensis (Yesso scallop)
Lineage: Eukaryota; Metazoa; Mollusca; Bivalvia; Pectinida; Pectinidae
Description: uncharacterized LOC110451836, transcript variant X2
Source: RNAcentral